UCGAUGAAGAACGCAGCGAAAUGCGAUAAGUAGUGUGAAUUGCAGAAUUCAGUGAAUCAUCGAAUCUUUGAACGCACAUUGCGCCUCCUGGCAUUCCAGGAGGCAUGCCUGUUCGAGCGUCAUGAAGACCAUUUCAAGCUUUUUGCUUGGUUUGGAGGUUGAGCGUUGCCCGUGUGCUCGUCCCCUUUGAAAUUUGCUGGCGGACUGCUCCAUGUUCCAUUUGGCGUUAUAGGAUAACUCUUUCGCUUGGACUCAUGAGGCUGUCCUGCCCAAUAACCCCCAAUUAAUCUGACGUUGACCUCGGAUCAGGUAGGGAUACCCGCUGAACUUAA
RNAcentral lists this ribosomal RNA (332 nucleotides) under uncultured Otidea. RNAcentral describes it as "eukaryotic LSU rRNA". The stretch from base 1 to 122 matches the Rfam family "5.8S ribosomal RNA", at positions 33 to 154 of the family's 154-position model. Lineage: Eukaryota; Fungi; Ascomycota; Pezizomycetes; Pezizales; Pyronemataceae. The record is from RNAcentral.